AUGUACAUUCCUAUACCAUAGUGUUAAUGAAAUUGAUCCCAUUAUAACUAUGCAGCUAAGCGCACUCAGGAUAGCGUAGUACUCGGAUGGGUGAUCAUCGGGGAAGUCCUGGUGUUUUACAUG
Molecule: non-coding RNA, 123 nt
Organism: Picea glauca (white spruce)
Lineage: Eukaryota; Viridiplantae; Streptophyta; Pinopsida; Pinales; Pinaceae
Source: Rfam